RNAcentral lists this unclassified non-coding RNA (229 nucleotides) under plant metagenome. RNAcentral describes it as "partial contains small subunit ribosomal RNA, internal transcribed spacer 1, and 5.8S ribosomal RNA". The record is from RNAcentral.
UCUCCGUAGGUGAACCUGCGGAGGGAUCAUUACAGAGUUCAUGCCCUACCGGGUAGAUCUCCCACCCUAUGUUAUUAUUACUUUGUUGCUUUGGCGGGCCGUUAGGCUCCGGCGCGACUACCGGCCCCGGCUGGUAAGCGCCCGCCAGAGGACCCAAAACCCUGAAUAUUAGUGUCGUCUGAGUACUAUAUAAUAGUUAAAACUUUCAACAACGGAUCUCUUGGUUCUG